UCCCUGGUAGUCCAGUAGCUACAACACUGCACUUCCAGUGCAGGGGACCCGGGUUCGAUCCCUGGUCAGGGAA
Molecule: transfer RNA, 73 nt
Organism: Ovis aries (sheep)
Lineage: Eukaryota; Metazoa; Chordata; Mammalia; Artiodactyla; Bovidae
Rfam family: tRNA
About the family: Transfer RNA (tRNA) molecules are approximately 80 nucleotides in length.
Source: Rfam